This 229-nucleotide unclassified non-coding RNA is filed under the name Hevea brasiliensis (rubber tree). The record is from RNAcentral. Lineage: Eukaryota; Viridiplantae; Streptophyta; Magnoliopsida; Malpighiales; Euphorbiaceae.
CCUCCUUUCACAAUUCCUUGUGAUUUAAUUGAUAGCAACAGAUUCAAAGCCUUAAUUUUCACCAACUCCCUGAUUCCCACAAACCCCUCCGAUGCCCAAUAGUGCCAAUUAGCAAUUCAAAAAAUACAAAUCAAUACUUGCAUAUUUACCACAUUAGUAAACAUUCAAUGCACAAAUUCAUGGCUCAAAGCAAAUGAGACUCAAAAACUACUCAUCAUCACUCUGACCU